UGGCAGGGUAAGCUAACCUACAAGCUGUUGGGCUCAUAACCCAAAAAUAGAAUUCUCUUCCUGCUAACC
RNAcentral lists this transfer RNA (69 nucleotides) under Elliptio icterina. RNAcentral's name for it is "tRNA-Met". The record is from RNAcentral. Lineage: Eukaryota; Metazoa; Mollusca; Bivalvia; Unionida; Unionidae.